This 429-nucleotide ribosomal RNA is filed under the name Bacteroidota bacterium. RNAcentral's name for it is "Bacteroidetes bacterium partial 16S ribosomal RNA". It matches the Rfam family "Bacterial small subunit ribosomal RNA", at positions 355 to 776 of the family's 1533-position model. Lineage: Bacteria; Pseudomonadati; Bacteroidota. The record is from RNAcentral.
UAGGGAAUCUUCGGCAAUGGGGGGAACCCUGACCGAGCAACGCCGCGUGAGUGAAGAAGGUUUUCGGAUCGUAAAGCUCUGUUGUUAAGGAAGAACGAGUGUGAGAAUGGAAAGUUCAUACUGUGACGGUACUUAACCAGAAAGGGACGGCUAACUACGUGCCAGCAGCCGCGGUAAUACGUAGGUCCCGAGCGUUGUCCGGAUUUAUUGGGCGUAAAGCGAGCGCAGGCGGUUAGAAAAGUCUGAAGUGAAAGGCAGUGGCUCAACCAUUGUAGGCUUUGGAAACUGUUUAACUUGAGUGCAGAAGGGGAGAGUGGAAUUCCAUUUGUAGCGGUGAAAUGCGUAGAUAUAUGGAGGAACACCGGUGGCGAAAGCGGCUCUCUGGUCUGUAACUGACGCUGAGGCUCGAAAGCGUGGGGAGCGAACAGG